RNAcentral lists this ribosomal RNA (484 nucleotides) under uncultured bacterium. Its description in RNAcentral is "partial 16S ribosomal RNA". It matches the Rfam family "Bacterial small subunit ribosomal RNA", at positions 30 to 507 of the family's 1533-position model. The record is from RNAcentral.
AUUGAACGCUGGCGGCAGGCCUAACACAUGCAAGUCGAGCGGAUGAAGGGAGCUUGCUCCUGGAUUCAGCGGCGGACGGGUGAGUAAUGCCUAGGAAUCUGCCUGGUAUUGGGGGAUAACGUCCGUAAACGGGCGCUAAUACCGCAUACGUCCUGAUGGAGAAAGUGGGGGAUCUUCGGACCUCACGCUAUCAGAUGAGCCUAGGUCGGAUUAGCUAGUUGGUGGGGUAAAGGCCUACCAAGGCGACGAUCCGUAACUGGUCUGAGAGGAUGAUCAGUCACACUGGAACUGAGACACGGUCCAGACUCCUACGGGAGGCAGCAGUGGGGAAUAUUGGACAAUGGGCGAAAGCCUGAUCCAGCCAUGCCGCGUGUGUGAAGAAGGUCUUCGGAUUGUAAAGCACUUUAAGUUGGGAGGAAGGGCAGUAAGUUAAUACCUUGCUGUUUUGACGUUACCAACAGAAUAAGCACCGGCUAACUUCGUG